RNAcentral lists this ribosomal RNA (572 nucleotides) under embryophyte environmental sample. Its description in RNAcentral is "eukaryotic LSU rRNA". The stretch from base 157 to 312 matches the Rfam family "5.8S ribosomal RNA". The record is from RNAcentral. Lineage: Eukaryota; Viridiplantae; Streptophyta.
AAAGGAGAAGUCGUAACAAGGUUUCCGUAGGUGAACCUGCGGAAGGAUCAUUGUCGAAGCCUGCCCAGCAGAAAGGGAACUUCAACUAAAGAGUGCCUCCGGUCGCCUCGGAAACGGGCGUGCGUGCCGGGGGCGAAUCUUGUGCAAAACCAUAACGACUCUCGGCAACGGAUAUCUCGGCUCUCGCAUCGAUGAAGAACGUAGCGAAAUGCGAUACUUGGUGUGAAUUGCAGAAUCCCGCGAAUCAUCGAGUCUUUGAACGCAAGUUGCGCCCGAAGCCAUCUGGUCGAGGGCACGUCUGCCUGGGUGUCACGCAUCGUUGCCCCCAACCCCAUCGCCUCUCCAAGAGACGAGGGCGGUCUGCGGGGCGGACAUUGGCCUCCCGUGAGCUCUCGCUCGCGGCUGGCCUAAAAGCGAGUCCUCGGCGACGAGCGCCACGACAAUCGGUGGUUGACAAACCUUCGUGACCCGUCGUGCGCGCAUCGCCGCUCAACGCGUGCUCUGUGACCCUGUAGCGUCGCGCUCGCGACUCUUCCAACGCGACCCCAGGUCAGGCGGGACUACCCGCUGAA